UGACAUCAGUUUCAAUAAUUCACCAUGAAGAAAUCAAAAUUUUAAAAGAAUACCCUGACAUUUAUGUGACAAGUAUAUAAUGAUAUAGUUACAUUCAACCACAAAGAUGGAUUCCCUCAAAGAUUUGCAUCAGCCACAACAAAAUCCUAGAAGCAUAUGGUAGUGCCUCUCCUUGCCAGAUGAUGAAUCAGAAAUUCUACGUGGUUUUGUACUUCAUCUUUUAGUCAAGCAACCCCCCAUACGCUUAUCCAUAUAUUUGGAUUAAAUUUCAAAUGGGAUAUCCAAA
Populus euphratica (Euphrates poplar) is the source of this 286-nucleotide long non-coding RNA. RefSeq lists it as uncharacterized. NCBI's taxonomy places the organism in Eukaryota, Viridiplantae, Streptophyta, Magnoliopsida, Malpighiales, Salicaceae. The transcript has 2 exons. The record is from RefSeq and is a predicted model, not a curated record.